Molecule: small nucleolar RNA, 61 nt
Organism: Ursus americanus (American black bear)
Lineage: Eukaryota; Metazoa; Chordata; Mammalia; Carnivora; Ursidae
Source: Ensembl
UUUCCAUGAUGAAUCAAACUAGCUCACUAUGACUUACACAAUGAAAAGUCCUCUCUGAAAU